CUCCUAAUUUCUCUCUCCUUCUGCCAUUUCUCCGCUUAAAUACCUUCUUAAAAAUAAUAUAUUUAUUUAAUUUUUUUUUCUUGAUAUUGAUUGGCAUCAUUUAUUCAUUUAUUUGCUUUCAUUUCUAUUUAACCUUUCUCUGAGGAUUUUUUUUUUCUGCACAGUUGUGUCUUUUUUGCUGUGGGGUUGAAUUUUUGGAUCUCUCAAUGUUUUGCUCAUUCUAUGCUCAGAUCUUAUUUGUGCUUUUUCACAAAUUACGGUUACAAUCUCUAUCUCUCUUUCAGCUUCUUUUUCCGUGUAUAGAUAUAUAUAUUUGGUUGGUUGUUUAAUUGAGCUAGGGUUUCUGUGUUUAUUUUGGAUCUAUGAAUGGAACUCUUUAAGUUCCAGUAGAACUGCUUUACUUGUUUUUUUUUUUUUAAAUAAUAGAUUGGGAAAUUUGGGUUUGGCGUUUUAAUUCUGGAAUGGAUUAUAACAAAUUUGAGCUGAUUCUAAUUAAGAUGCAAUGUAGGUUUUUAUGUGGGUGCUAAUCAAUGCAUUGAAUUUUGGAUUUUCCCUUGUUUUGUUCUUUUUUUCAGGUAUUCUGUUUUUACCCUUUUCUCAGCUCUUAGUUCAUUUAGAAACUACAUCUGAACUUUUCGAGGAUUCCAAUUUUGGUAACUCAAAGAUCUCAACUUUGGGUUUUCGCGUCUUGGUCUGAUUCAGGUUCUUAUCCUGCUUGUUGAAUGGUUCUGAGCUGUGAGAGUGGCCGUGUGAUUACAAGGAGAUGAGUCACACGACAUACGAGAGUGAUGAUGGGGUGCUCUCCAAGGAUCAGGCUGAAUCCGCGUUGGCUGAGGAAGGUAGCUGUGGAGGAAGUGGAAAUGGAGGAGUUGUGCUGAAGAAAGGGCCAUGGACAUCUGCUGAAGAUGCUAUUUUGAUAGAAUAUGUGAAGAAGCAUGGGGAAGGGAACUGGAAUGCCGUUCAGAAGCACUCAGGGCUUUCCCGGUGUGGCAAAAGCUGCAGAUUACGGUGGGCCAAUCACCUGAGGCCUAAUUUGAAGAAAGGGGCAUUUACUCAAGAAGAAGAACAGCUAAUCAUUGAACUCCAUGCCAAGAUGGGAAACAAAUGGGCACGCAUGGCUGCACAUGUAAGUCUAUAUUUUGCUUCUGUUUGAAGGUUGUGGUGUAGUAAAUGGUCCUUUUUUCUUUAUAUUGUGUUGAAUAUAAUUUACGUGGGAAUGUGUAAACUUAAAACAGACUUGAA
RNAcentral lists this unclassified non-coding RNA (1242 nucleotides) under Hevea brasiliensis (rubber tree). The record is from RNAcentral. Lineage: Eukaryota; Viridiplantae; Streptophyta; Magnoliopsida; Malpighiales; Euphorbiaceae.